UCCUUUUUUUUUUUUUUAAUGCAUAAUGAGAAGAACGAUAUCAGAAACCAGAGAAGCAAUUAAAAACAAAAAUAAACAAACUAGGGACUAGGGAUAGGAGUCGUGAUACGCCCAUACCCGGUAUGGGGAGGUAGUUGCCCAUACCGGGGGUAAAAGCGUAAUUUCGUGCACAAAAUUGAAAUGCACGCGACCUACUUCUCAACACCACUUCAUUUCAGCGUUUUCACUCUCUCAAGUCUCAAACUCAGUCACUCCCUCAAUUCUCGGAAAUUCUUAGUCGUUGGAGAUCGCUCUUCAGCAUCGGUCGUCACUCUUCAGCGUCGGUCGUCACUCGUCGGAGUCUUUUCUCAGCUCUUCAGCGUCGGUCGUCGGACAAAAUGGCAUUGGCACGACCAUUGGAGUUGGGGUUUAUAUUUUGACCGGUACUGUUGCUAGAGAGUCUACUGGACCUUCCCUGACCCUAUCCUUUUUGUUUGCGAGUGUAGCUGCUGCUCUAUCUGCAUUGUGCUAUGCAGAACUUGCCAGUCGGUGUCCUUCUGCGGGCACUGCCUAUCAUUACUCAUAUGUAUGCGUUGGAGAAAUAUUCGGUUUUGUAAAUUGUCAAUGAAAUAUUCGAUUUUGUAAAUUGUCAACGAAGUACUCGAUUUGCUAUACUCUAAUACAAUGAAGUACUCGAUUUUGUAAAUUGUCAAUGAUCGGACAAUAAUAUUGAAUAUAUCGUUGCGUAUUUUAUGUUA
This is a long non-coding RNA of Beta vulgaris subsp. vulgaris (sugar beet), 737 nucleotides long. RefSeq lists it as uncharacterized. The transcript has 2 exons. NCBI's taxonomy places the organism in Eukaryota, Viridiplantae, Streptophyta, Magnoliopsida, Caryophyllales, Amaranthaceae. The record is from RefSeq and is a predicted model, not a curated record.